AGUGGCUCUGCUUGGUUCUUGUGAGCGGUCGGCUGUUAACUGACUGGUCGUAGGUUAGAAUCCUACUU
Molecule: transfer RNA, 68 nt
Filed under: Triticum aestivum (bread wheat)
Lineage: Eukaryota; Viridiplantae; Streptophyta; Magnoliopsida; Poales; Poaceae
Also listed under: 1 other name
Source: Rfam by way of RNAcentral